AACUCCACCCAUGAACAAGACGUCAUAACGCUUCUUCUCAGGAGUUUCAGGGAUUUCUUAACUGCAGCUGACGGUGAAAUUAGUGGUGAGUGUUUGUGUGUGUGAGAGAUUAAGCAAAAAUCCUUCAGCAUUCAGCGUUCCUGACCGUCUUCACCACUUCGGAAAGAGGAUAUUUCAGCUUCCCAGUCAGUAGUCGUCCGUGGUUGAAUCGCAUUUGCACCAUGGCUGCUGUGAAAGCGCUUCAACAGUGGUGCAAGAUCCAGUGUGAAGGAUACCGGGACGUGUCGAUAACCAACAUGACCACAUCUUUCCGGGACGGUUUGGCUUUCUGCGCUCUAAUUCACAAACACAGACCGGACUUGAUAGACUUUGACUCUUUGAGCAAGGAAAAUAUUUAUGAAAACAAUCAACGGGCUUUCGAAGUGGCAGAGAAGGAGUUGGGAAUACCUGCCCUCCUGGAUGCUGAAGACAUGGUGGCUUUAAAAGUGCCAGAUCGCCUUAGUAUUCUGACUUAUGUGUCCCAGUACUACAAUUAUUUCCACGGGCGCUCUCCCAUUGGAGGAAUGGGAGGGAUUAAAAGACCAGCUGAAGAGUCUAAUGAAGCGCCAUCUGGGAAGAAGAACCCACCUGUCAUUGCUAAAGUUCUUCCCUCACCUAAGCCAGCCACGGAGAAUAAAACACCCAAACCGGCGAAUGAAAAUAAGAGAGAGGUUUUGACUGAACGUGCCAAUAAAUCGUCAACUCCGAGCAGCAACUGUAGUGUGUGCAACCAACAUGUUCACCUCGUCCAGCGCCACCUAGUAGAUGGAAAACUGUAUCACAGGAACUGCUUUAAAUGCAAAGAGUGUUCCACUAUUCUCCUCUCUGGCACCUACAAGGCUGGAAAAGAACCAGGCACUUUCAUCUGCAAGACACACACGAGCAUAGAGAAGCCUCUAACUACACGCUUCACGGCACCAUCCAAAACACAAUCCACCUUUAUAAACAAGCCUGACCAGAGUGCGUUAGGUGGAAGUACUGGUAAAGCUAGUUUAAAUACGAACACAUCUAAAUUGGGUUGGCUGGCCAACAAAAGUGACCGCAUUCCCAUGCGUGGGUUCACCGACACACCUACUCCAGCAGUUCAGCUCACGCCAACGGCAAAAGCAACACCCACACCAGACACUACAACAGCGAAAUCCCCCUCAGGCCCCAGAUCUGCCACUGAAUCUCUUAAACCUGUGAGCAACACUGUUCAGAAGAACCAAGAGGCCAGAAUGAGAUUCUUUGAGUCCAGCAGCAGCAGCCCCAGCAGUGUUGUGCCUGCCAGUAAGAGCACCUCAUCAUACACCUCAACUACAUCAGUGAGUACUGCAGGUGUUAAAACUACAGCACCAGAAACUACAACACCCAGAGUCCCUGCCGGAGCAGGUAAAGGCAGAGUUCUGCUCCGAGUGGGAGACUGGGCAAAAUCACAGGACACAGAAAAAGAGAAGGAGAAUGAAAAGGAAAAGGAAAAAGCCAAGGCUGUGAUUGGGAAGAUGGUGAAAGUGGACAAAGAUAGCAACAGCUCAUCUGCUAGUCCAGCUGGGCUGAAAGCAAACAGCAGUAAUGUUCCCCCUCUGGAAUCUAAUGCUAAAGCCCCCUUUGGUCGGGUGCGUCUCAAAGCGCUUGAAGCCAGUGGUGAAACUACUGCUCCUGCCACUACAGUCCCAUCCUGGAUGAAAGAGAAGAGCUUAUCCAGGAAUGUGAACACACCGUCAUCUAACAGCAAGGAAAACGAUACGGUUCCAUCUGACUGGAGAUCAAUGCUCAAGCCUGUUUCAAAACGCUCUGUUCCUCCCACUUCUUCAAGCUCUGCUGGGAUUGGCUGUCAUGAUUUGCGUGUCAAGCCGCUGCGUCCUAUAAGAGCAGCGGUGGGUCGAAUCUGAAAUAAAUCAUGCUCUAUUCACUCAUGUGCUGCUUCCAUCAAGAUCUUUCUACUGUAAAUUCCUGUUUAACUUUCUUGCCCACCUUCACAAACUUUAACCCAUCAGAGACCUGUCAGUAAUCUAGAAAGCAAGGGCUUACCCGCCAGGAGGACAGAAGCAGUUUCUUCUCCAAAGACAUCUGUUCCUGCUUCAUCUACAACAACCAUCUCUAUUAGCAUCAGCUCCUCCAAAACACCCUUAACUACCCCACUGAAAAAUGGGUCAAAACCUAAUGACUCCAGCAGCGUAUUUCCAGUUAGUCCCUCUGGGACAGAGACGCACAAAUCACACAAGCCGGGUUACAUUCCUAAAGAAGACAUUCAGAAAGAGCUGAAGGAGAUUGAGAUGAAUAUGAACGAGUUGGAGAAAAAAGGAGUAGAGCUGGAAAAACAACUCCGACAAUGUGAUGAGGAUGGAGAAGAGGACGCAUUAAUGAAUGACUUAAUGGUGGACUGGUUUACCCUCAUCAGAAACAAGCAGGUCUACAUGAGACGGGAGUCUGAGCUUGUUUAUAUUGCCAGGACGCAGGAUCUUGAGGAAGAGCAGCCCAGUGUUGAUGCCGAACUCCGGAGACUUAUGGAGAAACCAGAUCAUCUAAAGACUUUAUGGGAUCGUAAACGAGAGGAAGAGCUGAUGGCUAAACUGGUGGAGAUUGUUAAUGACCGUAAUGCUAUAGUGGAGGGUCUGGAUGAAGACAGACUGAGGGAGGAAGAGGAGGAUGAGCAGCUGAAUAAGAUGAUGCAGAGUUUUGAUAUGAAGAAGGAAAAGGUCAAGAAGAUGUCUCCAGUAACUCGAUGGUUUAGCAUGAGAAAACGGAGGUCUUCAGAAGAUUGAUCGUCUUGUAGUUUUUGUUUUUGUGUGUCUUCCAGAACAAUGUUUCUGCCACAGUUUGAGGUCAGAUCUCAAAAUAUAAACUGCAGUCACACGCUCUUCAAAACAUGGUGUUUUUGUGAAAUGCCAUCAUUACUCAUUUUCACACUCUUCAUUUCACAUACGUUUGCACUUGUUUUGUUGUUCAGACCUCUGUCUGUUGUCUUUAUGGGUGUGAUUUUUGUCAUUUGUUAGCAAACGCUUUUGCACUUGAAUCUUCUGAAUAAUGUCUCUCAGUCAGUGUUCCAUUAGGGAGUUGGACAGUGUCGAGAGAGAGUCUUACUGAUUCACAUUGGAUCAAUGCUGAAAAUGGACAGGUUGAGGUCUGAUCUCAAAUAUAUUCUAAUACAGAGAAUUGACUUUUUAUUAUAAAUGUUUUUGUAAAUAGAAACAAUCAUAUUUUAGCGCUUUUAAAAGGCAUCGUUUUAAUUGUGUUUUAUGCUGCACUUCUCCUGUGUGAGCUGCAGGGGGCAGACUGCGACCAACUUCAUUGUUUGCCAUCUUAAAUUCUCAACAGACUUGAGUAAUGAGAAUCUUUUUUUUCUCAUCUAAGAAAUGUAAGAUUUAAGAGUGAGAUGUUGCUCCGUAUGCAUUUAACCACAGCCCAUAGCUUUUAAAUCAUGUAAAUAUUUUUUCAUGUGACUUGUUUUUUCAAAAUUGAGUUGUCUGCUUGUGGUGUUUACUUUUUUUGAUUUAAAUGUUCCUUUAUUCGCUCUCUUUUUGUUAUAUUUGGUGUGUAACAAGCUGUUUAUAAUUUAAAGGUCUCUAUAUUUUUUAUCCAGCACCCAGCACUUAAUUGCAAACAUUUAUGCUGUGUACUGUCAUUCACUUUGCUGUGAAUACAUAUUUAAAAUCAAU
Non-coding RNA from Danio rerio (zebrafish), 3677 nucleotides. The record is from RefSeq and is a predicted model, not a curated record. Lineage: Eukaryota; Metazoa; Chordata; Actinopteri; Cypriniformes; Danionidae.